UACGGAGGGUGCGAGCGUUGUCCGGAAUCACUGGGCGUAAAGGGCGCGUAGGCGGCUUUGUAAGUCAGAGGUGAAAGCCUGGAGCUCAACUCCAGAACUGCCUUUGAAACUACAUCGCUAGAAUCAUGGAGAGGUUAGUGGAAUUCCGAGUGUAGAGGUGAAAUUCGUAGAUAUUCGGAAGAACACCAGUGGCGAAGGCGACUUACUGGACGACUGUUGACGCUGAGGUGCGAAAGCGUGGGGAGCAAACAGG
This 253-nucleotide ribosomal RNA is filed under the name uncultured bacterium. RNAcentral describes it as "partial 16S ribosomal RNA". It matches the Rfam family "Bacterial small subunit ribosomal RNA", at positions 524 to 776 of the family's 1533-position model. The record is from RNAcentral.